This 637-nucleotide ribosomal RNA is filed under the name uncultured bacterium. Its description in RNAcentral is "bacterial SSU rRNA". It matches the Rfam family "Bacterial small subunit ribosomal RNA", at positions 607 to 1244 of the family's 1533-position model. The record is from RNAcentral.
GCUCAACCGGGGAGGGUCAUUGGAAACUGGGGAACUUGAGUGCAGAAGGGGAGAGUGGAAUUCCACGUGUAGCGGUGAAAUGCGUAGAGAUGUGGAGGAACACCAGUGGCGAAGGCGACUCUCUGGUCUGUAACUGACGCUGAGGCGCGAAAGCGUGGGGAGCGAACAGGAUUAGAUACCCUGGUAGUCCAUGCCGUAAACGAUGAGUGCUAAGUGUUAGAGGGUUUCCGCCCUUUAGUGCUGCAGCAAACGCAUUAAGCACUCCGCCUGGGGAGUACGGUCGCAAGACUGAAACUCAAAGGAAUUGACGGGGGCCCGCACAAGCGGUGGAGCAUGUGGUUUAAUUCGAAGCAACGCGAAGAACCUUACCAGGUCUUGACAUCCUCUGACAACCCUAGAGAUAGGGCUUCCCCUUCGGGGGCAGAGUGACAGGUGGUGCAUGGUUGUCGUCAGCUCGUGUCGUGAGAUGUUGGGUUAAGUCCCGCAACGAGCGCAACCCUUGAUCUUAGUUGCCAGCAUUCAGUUGGGCACUCUAAGGUGACUGCCGGUGACAAACCGGAGGAAGGUGGGGAUGACGUCAAAUCAUCAUGCCCCUUAUGACCUGGGCUACACACGUGCUACAAUGGGCAGAACAAAG